Molecule: ribosomal RNA, 253 nt
Filed under: uncultured bacterium
Lineage: Bacteria
Description: partial 16S ribosomal RNA
Rfam family: Bacterial small subunit ribosomal RNA
Source: RNAcentral
UACGUAGGGGGCAAGCGUUGUCCGGAUUUAUUGGGCGUAAAGAGCGUGUAGGCGGUUUGGUAGGUCCGUUGUGAAAACUCGAGGCUCAACCUCGAGACGCCGGCGGAAACCAUCAGGCUAGAGUCCGGAAGAGGAGAGUGGAAUUCCUGGUGUAGCGGUGAAAUGCGCAGAUAUCAGGAAGAACACCCGUGGCUAAGGCGGCUCUCUAGUACGGUACUGACGCUGAGACGCGAAAGCGUGGGGAGCGAUCCGG